CGAAAGCUCCGUCUUCUUCAAGCAGGCCCAGGUCGGCUUUCCCCUAAUCUCGCCGACGACGAAUCCCCAAAUCCACACCGACGACGAAGCCCUAAUCACCCGACGACGAAGCUCGCAUCUCGCCCGACGACGAAGCCCUAUUCUCGCCCGACGACGAAGUCUGAGCUCGAUCUUAAAUCUCCCAACUCAGAUUGAAAUGGCUUCAUCAUCAACUGUGGAAGGCAACUCCUGUGUUGAAGUUGAUAUUAGAUUCAUAUUGAAACAAUGCGAGUGUGGUGAAUUAGCGGAUGUGAAGAUAACGAAGUCGAACAAGAACAAUAACCGUGGUAGAAUUUACUACUCGUGUAAAAGGCAAAAGUGCGGUUCGUUUUUGGGCUGGUGCAAGAUUUCAUCAGUUGAACAAAUACCACUCGUCAUUGCCCCACCAGAGGCGCGUGACGUGGUUGUUGUACGUGAAAAAGUGUUGUGGAAAUGGUUAACUGUUAUAGCU
Long non-coding RNA from Asparagus officinalis (garden asparagus), 490 nucleotides. RefSeq lists it as uncharacterized. NCBI's taxonomy places the organism in Eukaryota, Viridiplantae, Streptophyta, Magnoliopsida, Asparagales, Asparagaceae. The transcript is spliced from 2 exons. The record is from RefSeq and is a predicted model, not a curated record.